AACGAACGCUGGCGGCAGGCUUAACGCAUGCAAGUCGGACGAGCUCUUCGGAGUUAGUGGCAGACGGGUGAGUAACGCGUGGGAACCUACCUUUAGGUACGGAACAACAGUUGGAAACGACCGCUAAUACCGUAUGAGCCCUAUGGGGGAAAGAUUUAUCGCCUAAGGAUGGGCCCGCGUUGGAUUAGCUAGUUGGUGGGGUAAAGGCCUACCAAGGCGACGAUCCAUAGCUGGUCUGAGAGGAUGAUCAGCCACACUGGGACUGAGACACGGCCCAGACUCCUACGGGAGGCAGCAGUGGGGAAUAUUGGACAAUGGGGGCAACCCUGAUCCAGCCAUGCCGCGUGAGUGAUGAAGGCCCUAGGGUUGUAAAGCUCUUUCAGCGAGGAGGAUAAUGACGUUACUCGCAGAAGAAGCCCCGGCUAACUUCGUGCCAGCAGCCGCGGUAAUACGAAGGGGGCUAGCGUUGUUCGGAAUCACUGGGCGUAAAGCGCACGUAGGCGGACUUUUAAGUCAGGGGUGAAAUCCC
This 529-nucleotide ribosomal RNA is filed under the name uncultured bacterium. RNAcentral's name for it is "bacterial SSU rRNA". It matches the Rfam family "Bacterial small subunit ribosomal RNA", at positions 28 to 603 of the family's 1533-position model. The record is from RNAcentral.